This is an RNA transcript of Cynara cardunculus var. scolymus (artichoke), 988 nucleotides long. RefSeq lists it as uncharacterized. The record is from RefSeq and is a predicted model, not a curated record. Lineage: Eukaryota; Viridiplantae; Streptophyta; Magnoliopsida; Asterales; Asteraceae. The transcript is spliced from 3 exons.
AUGAAAUUGUUGUGAUGUUGUCUUGAGUGAUUACGUCACUCGAUAAUGGCGCUUUCAUCUACCUUCAAAGAAAGACUCGAACAAAUGGAGGAUACCAGAAACCAGAGCCUCUAUCUAUAAUCUACUCCAUGUUAUCUCACCCAAAUACUAUCACACAUCCACGAUCACAUUCUUUGCGGCAAAUGUAUGUAUUGAUCAAUUGGAAUCAUUGGCAGGCGGAGAAAGAGCUCCAGUUCAACAAAUCUCGAACCCUAGCUUUAAAGCUUUCCGGUAUCAGAUACAUUGAGCAAAGGUGCUUGAAGCUUGAUCACAAAGUUUCCCAAUUCAUUAUUUCUUCCCUUAAAUCCCUGCUCGAUCGUCUAGAUUCUGUCUAUCUUCAUCAAAUCCAGCAAUUCAGUUAGGGUUUUGAAAAGCGAAGUGGAAAAUCUGGAGGAGUUGGAAAGGGAAAAAGACAAGUAUUUUGCUUUGAAAGUUCGUGAUGUUGAUGAAUUUAGGGCUCGAUCCGAGAUAUUUGUCGCCCAAUGUCAAAGGCGUGUGGAGGAAUUGAGGGAUUGUGUGAAUGAGGUUCAUACUUCAAUUGAUCAUUCUGUCAGCUCAAUUCGAGUUUCAUCCAACUUCAAUGCAGUGCUGGGUAUUCAAAUCCUUCUGAUUUAGCUGCAGCUGAAAUGAGAAAAUCCGAACUUGAAGCUGCGAAAGAUAAUUUAGAUAGAAGGUUGGCUUCUAAUUACAGGACAAAGGCACAGUUGCAAAAGCAGCUAAUGAGUUUUCUGAUUUCUCAGAAAGAAUGGAGGAAAUCAUCUAAUGUGGCUAAAGAUGGGAUCUUUCUAAAAAAAUGGACUUGGAAUAGACGAAUUUCAUAGCAAACAAACAAUUGCAUGCUAGUGUAAUGGACCAAUAGAUAAUGAUUUGGAAAGAUGUAAGAGGUUAGUUACUCAUCGUGGCUUGUUCUGUUUAGUACUGCAAAAUAAUCCAGUAAUUCAAAUAUUGA